CAGUCGCCACGGUAAUACGGAGGAUCCAAGCGUUAUCCGGAAUCAUUGGGUUUAAAGGGUCCGUAGGCGGUCUUGUAAGUCAGUGGUGAAAGCACAUCGCUCAACGGUGGAACGGCCAUUGAUACUGCAGGACUUGAAUUAUUGGGAAGUAACUAGAAUAUGUAGUGUAGCGGUGAAAUGCUUAGAGAUUACAUGGAAUACCAAUUGCGAAGGCAGGUUACUACCAAUUGAUUGACGCUGAUGGACGAAAGCGUGGGUAGCGAACAGGAUUAGAUACCCCGGUAGUCCCUGUCUCUUAUAC
Molecule: ribosomal RNA, 301 nt
Filed under: uncultured bacterium
Lineage: Bacteria
Description: partial 16S ribosomal RNA
Rfam family: Bacterial small subunit ribosomal RNA
Source: RNAcentral